This 253-nucleotide ribosomal RNA is filed under the name uncultured prokaryote. RNAcentral's name for it is "partial 16S ribosomal RNA". It matches the Rfam family "Bacterial small subunit ribosomal RNA", at positions 524 to 776 of the family's 1533-position model. The record is from RNAcentral.
UACGGGGGGGGCAAGCGUUGUUCGGAAUUACUGGGCGUAAAGCGUGCGCAGGCGGUAAUGUAAGACAGUUGUGAAAUCCCCGGGCUCAACCUGGGAACUGCAUCUGUGACUGCAUUGCUGGAGUACGGUAGAGGGGGAUGGAAUUCCGCGUGUAGCAGUGAAAUGCGUAGAUAUGCGGAGGAACACCGAUGGCGAAGGCAAUCCCCUGGACCUGUACUGACGCUCAUGCACGAAAGCGUGGGGAGCAAACAGG